AAAACUUUCAACAACGGAUCUCUUGGUUCCGGCAUCGAUGAAGAACGCAGCGAAAUGCGAUACGUAAUGUGAAUUGCAGAAUUCAGUGAAUCAUCGAGUCUUUGAACGCACAUUGCGCCCUCUGGUAUUCCGGAGGGCAUGCCUGUCCGAGCGUCAUUGCUGCCCUCAAGCACGGCUUGUGUGUUGGGCCCCGCCCCCCGA
RNAcentral lists this ribosomal RNA (201 nucleotides) under Penicillium sp. 0109CI39M4. RNAcentral describes it as "5.8S ribosomal RNA". The stretch from base 3 to 156 matches the Rfam family "5.8S ribosomal RNA". From Rfam's summary of the family: 5.8S ribosomal RNA (5.8S rRNA) is a component of the large subunit of the eukaryotic ribosome. It is transcribed by RNA polymerase I as part of the 45S precursor that also contains 18S and 28S rRNA. Functionally, it is thought that 5.8S rRNA may be involved in ribosome translocation. Lineage: Eukaryota; Fungi; Ascomycota; Eurotiomycetes; Eurotiales; Aspergillaceae. The record is from RNAcentral.